This 200-nucleotide long non-coding RNA is filed under the name Capsicum annuum. RNAcentral's name for it is "long non-coding RNA (CANN_LNC009983)". The record is from RNAcentral. Lineage: Eukaryota; Viridiplantae; Streptophyta; Magnoliopsida; Solanales; Solanaceae.
UAUACUAUACCAUAUCAUACAGUACCGUACAUUAUGAAACCAUGGCAAACCAUCAUCCAAACAAAGUGUUAUUUGAGAAACAAAAAAGAAUUAAAAAUAAUAAGAAGAAUUUUUAAUUGGAUUUAUCAAAUUGACAUAUGAGGAGCCUUAGCUAAGAUCUUUUCAAGUGCGAGUCAACUAUAAGGGUCUGUUUGUCACGA